Molecule: ribosomal RNA, 300 nt
Filed under: Shigella flexneri
Lineage: Bacteria; Pseudomonadati; Pseudomonadota; Gammaproteobacteria; Enterobacterales; Enterobacteriaceae
Description: partial 16S ribosomal RNA
Rfam family: Bacterial small subunit ribosomal RNA
Source: RNAcentral
AAAUUGAAGAGUUUGAUCAUGGCUCAGAUUGAACGCUGGCGGCAGGCCUAACACAUGCAAGUCGAACGGUAACAGGAAGCAGCUUGCUGUUUCGCUGACGAGUGGCGGACGGGUGAGUAAUGUCUGGGAAACUGCCUGAUGGAGGGGGAUAACUACUGGAAACGGUAGCUAAUACCGCAUAACGUCGCAAGACCAAAGAGGGGGACCUUCGGGCCUCUUGCCAUCGGAUGUGCCCAGAUGGGAUUAGCUAGUAGGUGGGGUAACGGCUCACCUAGGCGACGAUCCCUAGCUGGUCUGAGA